GACGAACGCUGGCGGCGUGCUUAACACAUGCAGGUCGAACGGAAAGGCCCUGCUUUUGUGGGGUGCUCGAGUGGCGAACGGGUGAGUAACACGUGAGUAACCUGCCCUUGACCUUGGGAUAACUUCAGGAAACUGGGGCUAAUACCGGAUAGGAGCUCCUGCUGCAUAGUGGGGGUUGGAAAGUUUCGGCGGUUGGGGAUGGACUCGCGGCUUAUCAGCUUGUUGGUGGGGUAGUGGCUUACCAAGGCUUUGACGGGUAGCCGGCCUGAGAGGGUGACCGGCCACAUUGGGACUGAGAUACGGCCCAGACUCCUACGGGAGGCAGCAGUGGGGAAUAUUGCACAAUGGGCGGAAGCCUGAUGCAGCAACGCCGCGUGCGGGAUGACGGCCUUCGGGUUGUAAACCGCUUUCGCCUGUGACGAAGCGUGAGUGACGGUAAUGGGUGAAGAAGCACCGGCUAACUACGUG
This 468-nucleotide ribosomal RNA is filed under the name uncultured bacterium. RNAcentral's name for it is "partial 16S ribosomal RNA". It matches the Rfam family "Bacterial small subunit ribosomal RNA", at positions 28 to 507 of the family's 1533-position model. The record is from RNAcentral.